AAGCUCGUAGUUGAAUUUCGUGGUUAGUAGGUUGGUCAUGCCUCUGGUAUGUACUGGUCUCACUGAUUCCUCCUUCCUUAUGAACCGUAAUGCCAUUAAUUUGGUGUUGCGGGGGAUUUGGACUGUUACUUUGAAAAAAUUAGAGUGUUUAAAGCAAGCUAACGCUUGAAUACAUUAGCAUGGAAUAAUGAAAUAGGACGUUCGAUCUUAUUUUAGUUUGGUUUUCGUUAGGAUUGUACGUAAUGAUUAAUAGGGAGUAGUUGGGU
Molecule: ribosomal RNA, 266 nt
Filed under: uncultured Glomus
Lineage: Eukaryota; Fungi; Glomeromycota; Glomeromycetes; Glomerales; Glomeraceae
Description: partial 18S ribosomal RNA
Rfam family: Eukaryotic small subunit ribosomal RNA
Source: RNAcentral